RNAcentral lists this ribosomal RNA (301 nucleotides) under uncultured bacterium. Its description in RNAcentral is "partial 16S ribosomal RNA". It matches the Rfam family "Bacterial small subunit ribosomal RNA", at positions 509 to 807 of the family's 1533-position model. The record is from RNAcentral.
CAGUCGCCGCGGUAAUACGUAGGGUGCAAGCGUUAAUCGGAAUUACUGGGCGUAAAGCGUGCGCAGGCGGUUUGUUAAGACAGAUGUGAAAUCCCCGGGCUCAACCUGGGAAUGGCAAUGGAUACUGGCGAGCUAGAGUGUGUCAGAGGAUGGUAGAAUUCCAGGUGUAGCGGUGAAAUGCGUAGAGAUCUGGAGGAAUACCGGUGGCGAAGGCGGCCCCCUGGACAAAGACUGACGCUCAGGUGCGAAAGCGUGGGGAGCAAACAGGAUUAGAUACCCCGGUAGUCCCUGUCUCUUAUAC